RNAcentral lists this small nucleolar RNA (135 nucleotides) under Echinops telfairi (small Madagascar hedgehog). Lineage: Eukaryota; Metazoa; Chordata; Mammalia; Afrosoricida; Tenrecidae. The record is from RNAcentral.
CCCCUUUUAAAAGCACUCAUUGGACCUUUUGCCAGGGAUCCACUGAGCCGUCAAAAGGAGCAGAUUAAAAACCACCACUUUUGGGUAAGCGGCAACAUCUCGUGUUGUUCAGCUUCAAUCGGAGAUGUGACAAAA